This 254-nucleotide ribosomal RNA is filed under the name Microbacterium sp. 69-10. Its description in RNAcentral is "partial 16S ribosomal RNA". It matches the Rfam family "Bacterial small subunit ribosomal RNA", at positions 1 to 253 of the family's 1533-position model. The record is from RNAcentral. Lineage: Bacteria; Bacillati; Actinomycetota; Actinomycetes; Micrococcales; Microbacteriaceae.
UUUUACGGAGAGUUUGAUCCUGGCUCAGGAUGAACGCUGGCGGCGUGCUUAACACAUGCAAGUCGAACGAUGAAGCCCAGCUUGCUGGGUGGAUUAGUGGCGAACGGGUGAGUAACACGUGAGCAACCUGCCCCUGACUCUGGGAUAAGCGCUGGAAACGGCGUCUAAUACUGGAUAUGUCCCAUCACCGCAUGGUGUGUGGGUGGAAAGAUUUUUCGGUUGGGGAUGGGCUCGCGGCCUAUCAGCUUGUUGGU